Long non-coding RNA from Gasterosteus aculeatus aculeatus (three-spined stickleback), 1220 nucleotides. Lineage: Eukaryota; Metazoa; Chordata; Actinopteri; Perciformes; Gasterosteidae. The record is from Ensembl.
GUGCUGUGUGAUAGAGCAGUGCUGUGUGAUAGAGCAGUGCUGUGGUGUAGUGAUAGAGCAGUGCUAUGUGAUAGAGCAGUGCUAUGGUGUAGUGAUAGAGCAGUGCUAUGUGAUAGAGCAGUGCUAUGGUGUAGUGUCAGAGCAGUGCUAUGUGAUAGAGCAGUGCUAUGGUGUAGUGAUAGAGCAGUGCUGUGGUGUAGUGAUAGAGCAGUGCCGUGUGAUAGAGCAGUGCUGUGGUAUAGAGCAGUGCUGUGUGAUAGAGCAGUGCUGGGCUAUAGAGCAGUGCUGUGUGAUAGAGCAGUGCUGUGGUAUAGAGCAGUGCUAUGGUGUAGAGCAGUGCUGUGUGAUAGAGCAGUGCUGUGGUAUAGAGCAGUGCUGUGUGAUGGAGCAGUGCUGUGUGAUAGAGCAGUGCUGUGGUAUAGAGCAGUGCUGUGUGAUAGAGCAGUGCCGUGGUGUAGUGAUAGAGCAGUGCUGUGGUGUAGUGAUAGAGCAGUGCCGUGGUGUAGUGAUAGAGCAGUGCUGUGGUGUAGUGAUAGAGCAGUGCUAUGUGAUAGAGCAGUGCUAUGGUGUAGUGAUAGAGCAGUGCUGUUGUGUAGUGAUAGAGCAGUGCUAUGUGAUAGAGCAGUGCUAUGGUGUAGUGAUAGAGCAGUGCUAUGUGAUAGAGCAGUGCUAUGGUGUAGUGAUAGAGCAGUGCUGUGGUGUAGUGAUAGAGCAGUGCCGUGGUGUAGUGAUAGAGCAGUGCUGUGGUGUAGUGAUAGAGCAGUGCUAUGUGAUAGAGCAGUGCUAUGGUGUAGUGAUAGAGCAGUGCUGUUGUGUAGUGAUAGAGCAGUGCUAUGUGAUAGAGCAGUGCUGUGGUGUAGUGAUAGAGCAGUGCUGUGGUGUAGUGAUAGAGCAGUGCCGUGUGAUAGAGCAGUGCUGUGUAAUAGAGCAGUGCUGUGGUGUAGUGAUAGAGCAGUGCUGUGUAAUAGAGCAGUGCUGUGUGAUAGAGCAGUGCUGUGUGAUAGAGCAGUGCUGUAUGAUAGAGCAGUGCCGUGUGAUAGAGCAGUGCUGUGUAAUAGAGCAGUGCUGUGUGAUAGAGCAGUGCCGUGUGAUAGAGCAGUGCUGUGUAAUAGAGCAGUGCUGUGUGAUAGAGCAGUGCUGUGUAAUAGAGCAGUGCUGUGUGAUAGAGCAGUGCCGUGUGAUAGAGCAGUGCUGUGUAAUAGAGCAGUGCUGUGUGAUAG